AUCUACGUCCAUACUACCCUGAACGCGCCCGAUCCCAUCUGAACUCGGAAACUAAGCAGGAUCAGGUCUGGUUAGUGCUUAGAUGGGAGACUGCCUGGGAAUACCGGGUGCUGUAGGCU
This 119-nucleotide ribosomal RNA is filed under the name Ophiophagus hannah (king cobra). Lineage: Eukaryota; Metazoa; Chordata; Lepidosauria; Squamata; Elapidae. The record is from RNAcentral.